Long non-coding RNA from Dreissena polymorpha, 1897 nucleotides. RefSeq lists it as uncharacterized. NCBI's taxonomy places the organism in Eukaryota, Metazoa, Mollusca, Bivalvia, Myida, Dreissenidae. The transcript is spliced from 5 exons. The record is from RefSeq and is a predicted model, not a curated record.
AAUAAAUACGAAAUAAUAAGUGAAUGCCACAUCUGGAAGGGGGCGUACACUCCAAGCGUCUAUGGUGUUCUGCGGUGUAGUUUCCGCGGCAAAAGGCUAAGGCUUAAAGCUCACCAUGCACUAUAUUAUCUUGAAAAUAAACAUGCCAUGUCAUCAAAAAUGCAUGUGUCACAUUUAUGCCACAGUAAACUUUGUGUCAACAUCAAGCACUUAAGUUAUGGGCCUCAAAGCAUUAACAAAAGGAAAAUAUGUGCUCAUGAAGGUUCCUUAUGCACUUGAAAAUGUUUUCAAGCUGUGUCUUGUUUACAAUGAUGUUCUCAUAGUCAGAUAUAUUUGCCCACUGUUUCCAAUUGUAGCACUUUGAUUUUCAGACUGUGGUACUGUUUGAUGUGGUCGCAGUUUAAUAGGGAGAACGAGUGGACCCCGAGAACGAUUACACGCAUUCAAGACAUCGUUAGCCACAGAAUCACCCAAUCGCACGACACUUUCCAGACUGUGGUACUGUUUGAUGUGGUCGCAGUUUAAUAGGGAGAACGAGUGGACCCCGAGAACGAUUACACGCAUUCAAGACAUCGUUAGCCACAGAAUCACCCAAUCGCACGACACUUUCCAGACUGUGGUACUGUUUGAUGUGGUCGCAGUUUAAUAGGGAGAACGAGUGGACCCCGAGAACGAUUACACGCAUUCAAGACAUCGUUAGCCACAGAAUCACCCAAUCGCACGACACUUUCCAGGUCAGGGUCUGAAUUCAACGGAAUAGAAUCUUGAACUUGUUUCUCUACACAGGGCACAUGCCUGCAGAAACUUUAUAGUUUGGAAAUACUCCUUUUUUGAAAAACUGUGGUACUGUUUGAUGUGGUCGCAGUUUAAUAGGGAGAACGAGUGGACCCCGAGAACGAUUACACGCAUUCAAGACAUCGUUAGCCACAGAAUCACCCAAUUGCACGACACUUUCCAGACUGUGGUACUGUUUGAUGUGGUCGCAGUUUAAUAGGGAGAACGAGUGGACCCCGAGAACGAUUACACGCAUUCAAGACAUCGUUAGCCACAGAAUCACCCAAUCGCACGACACUUUCCAGGUCAGGGUCUGAAUUCAACGGAAUAGAAUCUUGAACUUGUUUCUCUACACAGGGCACAUGCCUGCAGAAACUUUAUAGUUUGGAAAUACUCCUUUUUUGAAAAGUACACCUUUGUUUUUCCUAGCGUGAUUGUUUUUAUAACUGUGCUGUGAUUUCUUAUGGAGUGAUCUAAUUUUGAAUGGUAUUUUAAUGAAUGAAUAUCAAUAUUUGGUGCAUGUAUUAUGUAAUCAUAUGGGAAUAUACAUCUGUAAGACUGAUUGAUAGUGUCAAUAAUCAUUUUAAACAUUUGACAUAUAACUUGUGUGCUUCUCUACUAAAUAGAGUCAAAUGUUGUGAAUAGGAACACUAUUUUUUUGAUUAUUUCUGUUCUGGUUGUUUCCCUUGAAUUGUGUGAAUUUUUGGAAUUACUAUGAAAUACAAACAAAACACAGGAUACAGUUCAGAAAUGUUGCAUUUAAUUCAUUAAACAUUAUAUUUUAAUGUAACAAAAGCUUUUUGUUUUAUUAUGCAUAUAUUAAAAAACUUAAGGUGGCAGGGGAUAUAUCAGUGAAAGGGGGGUCCAUGAAAAUUACAUAUCUUUAGGGUAGGUGUUACCUAUGGUCUUUAAAAAUCAAUUAGGUAUUUAUAAGAUGUAUUUCUUGUGUUAGGUUGUAGAAAGAAUGUCUCAAAAUUUUGGAAAAAAACAUUACAACUAGCCACAGCUCCCUAGCAAGGAAAUUUUGAAUCUUCAAAAAGGAGGUUUUCACUUUUGUCGGAAGUCAAUAUUUCACGCUGCAGAAACAGAACAAAAUUUUGAAGGUAAAUUGUGAAAAAUCUAA